RNAcentral lists this long non-coding RNA (1110 nucleotides) under Homo sapiens (human). Its description in RNAcentral is "HSALNT0301602". Lineage: Eukaryota; Metazoa; Chordata; Mammalia; Primates; Hominidae. The record is from RNAcentral.
UGCUGGGAUUACAGGCGUGAGCCACCGCGCCCGGCCAGUAGUACCUUUUUCAGUUUCCUUAUUUUGCAUCAUCUGAAGUGGGGGUAGGUUUUCUGCACUUACCAUGGGCACUUGAUAUGGCCCAUUAUGAUGCAGUCACCAUAAGGCUGUGUGAAUAUUAGUCACAUUCUACAGAUGAGGACACUAAGGCUGAGUGGCUUAAUAAUCUUCAGCGAUCUUAAUGCCUGGCAGGAAUCCUUUGAAGGGAUAAAAGAAGUAAUCAGAGACCUGUCCAUGGUGACAAUAGGGUCAAGGUCACUUAACCUUCCUAGGCAUCAGUUUCCUCAGCUGUGAAAAGGGAAUAUUAACUUCAUUACAAGGUUAUCAGGAGGAUGGGUAACCAACCAUCUUCAGUCUGUAUGUCUCUCCAAUGCAUCCUGAAUCACUGGGAUUCCUUUGAAAAGAGAAAAUCAACCUUCUUCUUCCUGUUUCCUCCUCUGUCCUCUCUUCAUGGAUGAAUAAUCAUGUCUCCAUACCACAGGACAUUUCCCUCUGUGAAAAGUUUAAUUUCUGCAUUAAACCACUUGGCUUAAAAAAAAAUGAACUGGGAAGACAUUAUAACUCACAUUCCCCUCUGUGAAAAGUUUAAUUUCCAUAAACCUUAAAUCACUUGACUUAAAAAAAAAAUGAACUGGGAAAACUCUAACUGAGCAAUCUCUUGAGGAAGGACAAUGUUUACAGUAUGCAAAUAACCUAUUUGUCUGCUCCCCCUUUACGGAACUCCAGGGUCAAAGGGCUUCAUAGCUCGGGGGAAGGGAACCCAGAAGCCUGACAUGCUGGCAAACGAGUAAAAGUUUUUUACCCAUCAGACUUCUGGCUUUUCUCUCUCUCUGUGCAAACUGUUUGAAUGAAUGAUAAAAAUCACUGUUUAUAUACUCUGAAACGUUGUGAUUAAUGGAAAAAGGAUUUGUGAGGUGAGUCUUAAGCUAUAGAGAAUCUGUGAUACUUUGUGUUAAGAAUUUCUCUUUCUGUAUCUUUCUAUCAGAAAGAGGGGUACCUUAGGAUAAAAUGUGGGUCUAGGCCCAAAUGUCCAACAAUGAUAGACUGGGUUAAGAAAAUGUGGCACAUAUA